This 497-nucleotide ribosomal RNA is filed under the name uncultured bacterium. RNAcentral describes it as "partial 16S ribosomal RNA". It matches the Rfam family "Bacterial small subunit ribosomal RNA", at positions 28 to 507 of the family's 1533-position model. The record is from RNAcentral.
GAUGAACGCUGGCGGCGUGCCUAAUACAUGCAAGUCGAGCGAACAGAUGAGGAGCUUGCUCCUCUGACGUUAGCGGCGGACGGGUGAGUAACACGUGGAUAACCUACCUAUAAGACUGGGAUAACUUCGGGAAACCGGAGCUAAUACCGGAUAAUAUAUUGAACCGCAUGGUUCAAUAGUGAAAGACGGUUUUGCUGUCACUUAUAGAUGGAUCCGCGCCGCAUUAGCUAGUUGGUAAGGUAACGGCUUACCAAGGCAACGAUGCGUAGCCGACCUGAGAGGGUGAUCGGCCACACUGGAACUGAGACACGGUCGAGACUCCUACGGGAGGCAGCAGUAGGGAAUCUUCCGCAAUGGGCGAAAGCUUGACGGAGCAACGCCGCGUGAGUGAUGAAGGUCUUCGGAUCGUAAAACUCUGUUAUUAGGGAAGAACAAAUGUGUAAGUAACUAUGCACGUCUUGACGGUACCUAAUCAGAAAGCCACGGCUAACUACGUG